Molecule: ribosomal RNA, 235 nt
Filed under: uncultured bacterium
Lineage: Bacteria
Description: partial 16S ribosomal RNA
Rfam family: Bacterial small subunit ribosomal RNA
Source: RNAcentral
GAUCAUGGCUCAGGAUGAACGCUAGCUACAGGCUUAACACAUGCAAGUCGAGGGGGCAGCAUGAACUUAGCUUGCUAAGUUUGAUGGCGACCGGCGCACGGGUGAGUAACACGUAUCCAACCUUCCGUUUACUCAGGGAUAGCCUUUCGAAAGAAAGAUUAAUACCUGAUAGUAUGGUGAGAUUGCAUGAUAACACCAUUAAAGAUUUAUUGGUAAACGAUGGGGAUGCGUUCCA